CUAGAGUUACCGACGCAACCAUAAUAUACAUUUUUCGAUCCUUUCUUUCUUUUUAAUCCACGAUUUGUAAGUGCCUCUCCAAUGGAAGAGUCGGAAUCCGAGGCUAUACGAGAUGUUAGUGAAAAUUAUAAAUCUCAUUUUGACAAUAAUUACCAUCAGAAUCUUCAAAUAACGCCUGCUUAAACCUUCUAAAUUUGUUAGAAAAAUACAUAAUACGUGACAUUCAUAAAAACCUACUCAAUUUGUUCUUCAAAUUGCUUCAUGGUUUUUGGCACGUCAGAUAUUCAUACUUACUCAAUCCAGUACAAAUUAGCGAUUUCUAUCGCAUUAUAGCGUUUACAUAAAAUGCGAAAAUAACCUGGCGUAAGUUGGGUUACUUAUUCAAUUUAUAAAUAAAUAGUAUUGAAACAAAAAUAUACAUUGUUUUAAUCGUUAGAGGUAAGCUGCUAGUAUUCUUGAAUAAUAAGAAAAAUCCCUUUCCGCAGGUAGGGCCUGGUUUAUUUUGCUUUCUCGAUAUUCCUUUUCCAAUUU
Schizosaccharomyces pombe (fission yeast) is the source of this 531-nucleotide non-coding RNA. Lineage: Eukaryota; Fungi; Ascomycota; Schizosaccharomycetes; Schizosaccharomycetales; Schizosaccharomycetaceae. The record is from the annotation of a GenBank genome assembly.